GACGAACGCUGGCGGCGUGCUUAACAAAUGCAAGUCGAACGGAAAGGCCCCUUUGGGGGUACUCGAGUGGCGAACGGGUGAGUAACACGUGAGUAACCUGCCCUUGCCUUCGGGAUAACUUCAGGAAACUGGGGCUAAUACCGGAUAGGAAUCCUUGCUGCAUGGGGGGGGUUGGAAAGCUUCGGCGGUUUUGGAUGGACUCGCGGCUUAUCAGCUUGUUGGUGGGGUAGUGGCUUACCAAGGCUUUGACGGGUAGCCGGCCUGAGAGGGCGACCGGCCACAUUGGGACUGAGAUACGGCCCAGACUCCUACGGGAGGCAGCAGUGGGGAAUAUUGCACAAUGGGCGGGAGCCUGAUGCAGCAACGCCGCGGGCGGGAUGACGGCCUUCGGGUUGGAAACCGCUUUCAGCAGGGGCGAAGCUUGUGGUGACGGUACCUGCAGAAGAAGCACCGGCUAACUACGUG
This 465-nucleotide ribosomal RNA is filed under the name uncultured bacterium. Its description in RNAcentral is "partial 16S ribosomal RNA". It matches the Rfam family "Bacterial small subunit ribosomal RNA", at positions 28 to 507 of the family's 1533-position model. The record is from RNAcentral.